RNAcentral lists this non-coding RNA (41 nucleotides) under Chaetoceros dichaeta. Lineage: Eukaryota; Bacillariophyta; Thalassiosirophyceae; Chaetocerotales; Chaetocerotaceae. The record is from RNAcentral.
GGCAGCAGCCGUAGCAAUAACUUUUCGGGUGUUGUUGUUGU